UAUAGGAGGUCCAACCUGCCCAGUGACUACAAGUUCAACGGCCGCGGUAUUUUGACCGUGCAAAGGUAGCGCAAUCACUUGUCUUUUAAAUAGAGACCUGUAUGAAUGGCCAAACGAAGGCUUAACUGUCUCCCCUUUCAAGUCAGUGAAAUUGAUCUACCCGUGCAGAAGCGGGUAUAAUAAUACAAGACGAGAAGACCCUUUGGAGCUUAAGGUACAAAAUUUAACCACGUCAAGCAACUUAACAAAAAGCAAAAACCUUGUGGAACAUAAAACUUUACCUUCGGUUGGGGCGACCACGGAGUAAAACAAAACCUCCAAGUGGACUGGGAUAAUUUUCCUAAAACCAAGAGAGACAUCUCUAAGCCACAGAACAUCUGACCAAACAUGAUCCGGAUACUAAAACCGAUCAACGAACCAAGUUACCCUAGGGAUAACAGCGCAAUCCUCUCCCAGAGUCCAUAUCGACGAGGGGGUUUACGACCUCGAUGUUGGAUCAGGACACCCUAAUGGUGCAGCCGCUAUUAAGGGUUCGUUUGUUCAACGAUUAAAGUCCUACGUGA
RNAcentral lists this ribosomal RNA (563 nucleotides) under Garra nasuta (Khasi garra). RNAcentral's name for it is "partial 16S ribosomal RNA". It matches the Rfam family "Bacterial large subunit ribosomal RNA", at positions 1844 to 2603 of the family's 2925-position model. Lineage: Eukaryota; Metazoa; Chordata; Actinopteri; Cypriniformes; Cyprinidae. The record is from RNAcentral.